GAGGGUAUAGCUCAGUGGUAGAGUGCAUGCUUAGCAUGCACAAGGUCCUGGGUUCAAUACUCAGCACCUCCU
This 72-nucleotide transfer RNA is filed under the name Camelus bactrianus (Bactrian camel). It matches the Rfam family "tRNA". From Rfam's summary of the family: Transfer RNA (tRNA) molecules are approximately 80 nucleotides in length. Their secondary structure includes four short double-helical elements and three loops (D, anti-codon, and T loops). Further hydrogen bonds mediate the characteristic L-shaped molecular structure. tRNAs have two regions of fundamental functional importance: the anti-codon, which is responsible for specific mRNA codon recognition, and the 3' end, to which the tRNAs corresponding amino acid is attached (by aminoacyl-tRNA synthetases). tRNAs cope with the degeneracy of the genetic code in two manners: having more than one tRNA (with a specific anti-codon) for a particular amino acid; and 'wobble' base-pairing, i.e. permitting non-standard base-pairing at the 3rd anti-codon position. Lineage: Eukaryota; Metazoa; Chordata; Mammalia; Artiodactyla; Camelidae. The record is from Rfam by way of RNAcentral. RNAcentral also lists the same sequence under 1 other name.